GACAUCGUGCACUUAAAAUUUCAGAAGGACAAUCAGUUAUUCAUGGACUAUUUUAUUUUAGGAUUGCUCGGUCUGCUUGUAGCCAAGAACAGUCCUUUUACAGAUGCUUUACAAUGCUACAGUUGCAAGAAUAUCGCCAAUGUCAAUGAUUGCAAC
This is a long non-coding RNA of Mya arenaria, 156 nucleotides long. RefSeq lists it as uncharacterized. The record is from RefSeq and is a predicted model, not a curated record. NCBI's taxonomy places the organism in Eukaryota, Metazoa, Mollusca, Bivalvia, Myida, Myidae. The transcript is spliced from 3 exons.